Molecule: non-coding RNA, 6080 nt
Organism: Podarcis lilfordi (Lilford's wall lizard)
Lineage: Eukaryota; Metazoa; Chordata; Lepidosauria; Squamata; Lacertidae
Source: the annotation of a GenBank genome assembly
GUCUGUACAGGGGGAGAGAGAAAGGGUUAAAAAUGUAGACCAAUAGGAAAGCCAGAGGCGGAGCCUACCUGUUUAGCCCGAGGUUUGAGUUAGUUGAUGGUGGGUAGUUGGUUGGUUUUAGUGGGUUGGUUGGUUGGGAAAGGCAGUUGGAAAAGCAGUUGGCAGACAGUUGGAAAUAAGAGAGACAGUUAGUGCAGUUGGUUCUUGUGUGAGGGGAGGUAGAAGAGAUGGAGCAGGAUAAAAUAAGACUAAGAAGGUAAAGAGCAACAACAUUUGGAAUGCAGUUAAAGUUUGUUUGUGUCUGAAAUAAACUACACUCUUCUUUGUUAACUUGAGAACCUGACUGAGACUAAGUAAUUUACCGGGGAGGACCUGGUUGGUGGCAGCGGAUUAGUGGUGUACGGGUCAAUAGUCCGUGAGACGACAGGGGGUUCUGUACGAAUGCCACAGUCGUCUAGUGCAAUCGCCUUCAAUGAAGAAAUCUCAACUAAAGCAUCCAUGACAGAUGGCUUCCAACCUCUGCUUAUAAACGUCUCAGGAAGGAGAGUCCACCACCUCCCAAGGGAGUCCAUGCCUACUGUCAGAAAUCCUUCCUGAUGUUUUGGACAGGAAAAUUGGCUUCCAGGUGGAAAGAUCCAAAUUAGAAACAGAAUUGUUAGAACCCAAAACUAAGAAUUUGUCAAGAAUGUAUAACUUGCUGCUGAAAUGGAAUACUCAGGAUGAAACGGUAAAAUCGGCUAUGAUUAAAUGGGCACAGGACGUUGGACAUAACAUUAUGUUUGCUGACUGGGAACAGUUAUGGACCACAGGUAUGAAAUUUACGGCAUGUAAUGCCUUAAGAGAGAAUAUUAUGAAAAUGAUAUACAGGUGGUACAUAACCCCAGUCAAGCUUGCGAAAAUCUAUCACUUGCCCGAUAACAAAUGUUGGAAAUGUAAAGAAACUGAAGGUACAUUUUUUCACCUUUGGUGGACGUGCCCAAAGAUUAAGGUUUUCUGGGAAAUGAUAUAUAAUGAAUUAAAAAGGUAUUUAAGUAUACCUUCCCCAAGAAACCAGAGGCCUUUCUCCUGGGCAUAGUGGGCCAAAUGGUGUUAAAAAAGGAUAGAACUUUCUUUAUGUAUGCAACAACAGCAGCAAGAAUACUCAUCGCAAAGUAUUGGAAGACACAAGAACUUCCCACGCUGGAGGAAUGGCAGAUGAAACUUAUGGACUAUAUGGAAUUGGCGGAAAUGACUGGCAGAAUCCGUGACCAGGGAGAAGAGUCGAUGGAGGAAGACUGGAAGAAAUUCAAAGACUAUCUUCAGAAACACUGCAAAAUUAAGGAAUGUUAGAGUGAUGUUGGAUUGAAAAUAAGUGGUUUCCAGCUGUACAGGUUAAAGAUAAGGAUAGAUUAAGAUUAAAGAUUAAGAUUAAAGAUGUUUAAAGAAAUGGAAAUUUGAUAAUAAAAGGGAAAAAUUUAAAGCUAUAUGAUAUUAAGAGUAAGGAUUAGGUUUAAAAAAGUUGAAGUUAUAGAUUUUAACAUUUUAUUAAAUUAAAGUGUGGGAUUAUAAUAGUGGAAAAGAAACUGCUGGAUAAAUAAUGUGGAUUGGAAUACAAAGAGGGAGGUAUGAGGAAGUCCAGAAAAUAAGUAAUUUAAAAUUGGAAAUGGAAAAGAGAGUUUGUUUUUAAUUGUUAUGUUUUGUGUUUUUAUUGUUGAGUUUUGUAUUGUUUUUUGUGUGUGUUGUUUUUCUUUUUUCUUUGUUUAAAACCUUAAUAAAAAAUUAUUAAAAAAAAAAAAAGAAAUCCUUCCUGAUGUUUAGUCAGAAUCUCCUUUCUUGUAACUUGAAUCCAGUGUGGUGACCACACAGGGUCCCCGGACGUUUCACCGUCUAUUGAUCCCUGUGCCACCACUUUAUUUCUCGCUGGCACCACCCAGGCCCUACCUGGUACAAUACUGAGUCCAGCCAGGGUUAAAUCGGAACAUAAACUUUUGUUUAUUUAUUGCAGUUUAACAAGCGUGUGGUUUCAUAAACGGUAUUGGUCAAUUACAAUAAUGGGGUGCCUAUCCAGACCUAUAACUCCCGCUCUCACUCACUAAACCACCUCUCAGAUAUUUACUUGUCUUCCUAGCCCCUAACUAUUCCUGGCUCAGCUUAUUUCUCUACACUAACUCAACCUACCCACAAACUCUAUCCCACUCCAACCAACCACCCAACUUCCAAUGAACUCCCCCCUUCGCCCCUCCCAGAGCUGGUUUUAUAGACCCUCUGACUCCACCCCCUGGGUUCUGAUUGGGUAACCUGUUUAACUAUUUCACCUCCAGCACUCUCAUAUGUUAAUGUCACAUCCAGUGAUUUGGGUCCUAACUUCCAGAGCAGGAGAAAACAAGCUUGCUCCAUCUUCCAUGUGACAGCCCUUUAGAUAUUUGAAGGUGGCUAUCAUAUCUCCUCUCAGUCUCCUCUUUUCCAGGUUGUGAACCCUGGCCACCCUGGUCCAAUUCCAACCUGUGACAUAACCAUGCGUGUUUCUGUUCCCUCCUACAACUUCUAGAGUGGGACUGCCUUAAGCAUGGUGUGUUCUCAGUGAAAUCCUUAGAGUCUGGUUUGCACUGCAACAGUUCUGGUGGUCUCUCUUCUUCCAUCCUACCCAGUGGAGUAAAAUUUCUCUGCAUUUCUUUUAAAUUCCCUGGUUUAAAGAUCUGGUUUAUCAGGAACAGAGAAUACAAAUGGCAUUUCAGCAUCGCUAAGCAUUGAGGGUAAAUCCAAGUCACAGUGAUGCAGUUAGAAAGAGUAUUGAUUUAGCUUAAGGGAAUCACAUGGCAACCAAAUAUACAAGAAAGAAAGUUACUGUAUUCCUGUAAACAAAAAACACACAGACUUUUGUUGGCUUCAUUUGAUAAAAGGGACAAUGUUCAUACCAGCAGUUUCAGGAUACUAUAAGAUAAUUGUCUAUUUUCUGGUUAGGGUCUAGAAGGUCAACCACUUACCUUUAUGCCCAAUGCUUGUUCUUAGAGGCAACAAAAGAUGAGAAAGCAAUAUCUCAUUACAGUAGCUUUCCAUUCAAGCAGGACCUGCUAAAGAACCAGAUUCCUGUCCUUUAACAGGGAAAACCAAUUGGGUAGAUGAAAGAUGAAUUGUUAACCCAGCUGAAUCCAAAACUGAUUAUUAAAUCUCAUUGAAAUGAGGAACACUGACGUAGGGAGGAAUCACUCCACCAACAUUGAUUUCUCAUUUUCCCCAGUCUUAAAUUCAGUUCUCUCCCCCAUUUCUGCAUCAGUUUGCAAACUUUUCUUUAAACCUGCUUGAAAAUUUAUAUGCAUUUAUUUUAGCAUUCCUCUUUUUCGCAAGCAAAUUUUCCUCUACUAUAAUGUUAUUUUCAUCAAUUUACGUAUUUUAUGCUCAAAUUUCCUCAAUAUAAGAGCUGCAUCUCAAAUAUUCUACAAAUAUUUGUAAAAAUGCAGAUAUCAAAUGAGAGCUGUGUUUUGGUUUGGUAGUUAAGGAGGUGAACUGGGUUAAUUCCUACACUGAAGUAAUAGUCCUGGUGUCAGGUAGCAAAGUUUUAGUUGUUGCGCUGCGUGCUGCAUUCUUCAUUUUAGAAUUGUGAAUCGUAUCACUGGAAAUGGUGGGCCUCAGGUUUGAUCAGAUCUUUUAUUUGAUAACUGAAUACUGCACCAACUUAUUUGUCAACCCUGAAAAACAAAUAAAUAGGGAGCAGAUAACCUGCUAUUUGCAUUUCUAGGAAAUUUGAAACACAGUAUUAAGGAGAAAGGAUUGAUCAAAGUUCAGUUUUAUUGCUUCAAUCUUCUCCCUUCUUUCAUUAUGUUUUAAUGAGAUGAGCUUUUCAAAAGCGAUUUCACAGCCUUGAGUAAUGUGCCUCCAAGAUUUUCUCCUGGAUUCCAAAAGGAAUAAAUAGAAUAUCUAAGAAUAAACCUAGCAGCAUACAGUUCAUGGGCAACAGGUAAUCAAAGCAUGCCAGAGCGAUUAGAAUGGACUACUUCUUUGGAUGCUCUGCAAACAGCACCUUUACUCUGGACAGUUAUCAAAAAUCAAGUAAGAAAUCAGAUGGAUCAUUACACUUAAGUCUGAGAUUUCAUGCUCGGAGAGCAUUGGGAUCCAGACAUUGUCUACUUAGCUAAAUAAUUACAGUGGAACCUCUACUCACGUACGGAAUCUGUUCCAGAGGUCCAUUCGUGAAUCGAUCUGGGUCACUAGUAGAAGCGCCGUUCUGCGCAUGCGCAUUCAGCGACAGCACCAUUCUGUGCAUGUGCAGACGGCAGAAGCCACUUCUGCCAUAGCUGUCAAUAUUCCCCCCCUUUUAAGGGAAAUUCCCUUAUUCCGAGUAGGAUUCCUCGCAAGAAAAGGGAAAAGUUGACAGCUAUGGCUUCUGUGCGUGUGCGAAACGCUGCAAACCUGGUAUUUACUUCCGGGUUUGCAGCGGUUGUGAGUUGAAUUGUUCGCGAGUAGGGGCGGUGGUAAGUUGAGGUUCUACUGUAAUAGAAAAAUAAGCUUAUUACUGAGCUAGAUCUACCAGUGGUCUGAUGUUUUCUAACACAGCUUUCUAUCUUCUAAAACACAGUGGCACUUACUUACAAAUAUACAUACAAAGGAAGGUGUUUUCUACCAAGGGAGGCUAUUGGUCCUUCUACUUCAGUAUGGGCUACACAGCCAGGAGAGGCAGGUGGUGCAGGAUGAAGAUGUGAAUCUUGACUCCCAAUGUCGCUACUGUGAGGGUUAAGGCAAUAAGGAGGUUGGUCCUGUAUGGGGGCCUCAGCGGAGGAGGAACCUGUUCAAUGUUGAUCUCCCCACUGCCUACCUCCUCACUUUUUCCUCGCACUAAGCAUCAGCAGUGAUUGGGAUUGCAAAUCACAGAGUGUAUCGAUUUUCUUAUUCCUCAUGAAUCUGGGUUCUGCCUAAAGGCCAGUUCUCAUAAAUCUGUUCUAAAUGUUCUGAACAUCUGAAGGCAGAUGUCAGGGGCUGGACUGAGGAGAAAUGGUGGGAGUUGUCCCCCCCCCUUCUCCUGGACCUUCCCAAGGGCAGGAGGACAGUCUUGAUUUAGAACAGUGGUUUGCAGAGGGUCAUAGUCCAGAGGGGAAAAGCUGGGAAAUACUGGGUGAGGAACAGCUAGAAGAGGACUUACCAGGAGAGAGACAGCUAGCAGAUUCAGUGUCCUUGGACAGUAUUCCUGACCCCCCCCUUGCCUAAGACUAGACGGGCUUUGAGAGUGAUAGAACAGAGAGCUCAGUGGCAACAACCUCAGAUUACCCGAUGAAGGAGUGAUGUAGAUUAAUGGGGAUGGAGGGGGCGAACCUUUACGGGGAGCAACGCCAUUUCUAGAGAGAUAUGCAUUCCUUUGUCUCUUGCUGUGAUUAUUAAAGAAACUAACUGGUUAGAAUGUUUCUUUCGUUUGAUCUGCUUCUUUACUGCCACUGGGGGAGGGAUCUGGUUCUCCGAAGCCUGACAGCAGCCUUGUAUAGGGACAUUUUUUAAUCUGUAAUGUUUUAUUACGUUUUUAUAUAUCGUCAUCAUCAUCAUCAUCAUCAUCAAACCUUUAUUGGCAUCACUUACAAACAUUCAGAAAAUAGGCCUGUGCGAUCUCAUCGCCAUUUAAACAGUACAUUCAUUUGCCAAAGGGAAGAAGAGGCGAGCAAUCUAUUUCAGUUUUUAUAUAUGUUGGAAACCAUCCAGAGUAACUGGGGCAACCCAGUUGGAUGGGCAAAGUACUAUUAUCAUUAUUAUUACUACAGCUGCUGUAAUCAUUCAAGCACCCAUUCAAUUGAGCCGUAUUCAGUCCACGCAAUGUUCUGUUUUUCACUCUUUUCCAGAAGCAAAACUGAUGGAUUUUGAAGCACAGAACGCAUGGACUUCUUUUCAGUGCACAGCGAAGUUCCACUACUUGAAAUUAUUCUGUUCUGUGUAUUUUCCUGCACUUCCAGGUCUCUUAUGUGUGGCUUGAUCAGCAAGUCUUUAUUGUUCUGCUUUUACCAUCGCAAAGGAAUUACAUGAAACUAAAAUAUAAAACAAAAUCGUAAAUCUCCUACUGCAAUAAAACAUAGAGCAUAAAGAUGCAAAAUGUACACAGGGAGUUUCACCACCAUAAAGCAGAG